AACGAACGCUGGCGGCGUGCCUAAUACAUGCAAGUCGAACGCAGUGGGGACGGGUGAGUAACACGUGGGUAACCUCCCAUCAGAGGGGAUAACACUUGGAAACAGGUGCUAAACCGAUACUGAUGGAUGGACCAGCUGUGCAGUAGCUAGUUGGUGAGGUAACGUCUCACCAAGGCCACGAUGCAUAGCCAGUCUGAGAGGGUGAUCGGCCAAACUGGGACAGAGAGACGGCCCAGACUCCGACGGGAGGCAUCAGUAGGGAAUCUGCGGCAAUGGACGAAAGUCUGACCGAGCAACGCCGCGUGAGUGAAGAAGGCUUUCGGAUCGUAAAACUCUGUGGUUAGAUAAGCGGUAUCUAACCAGAAAGCCACGGCUAACUACGUGCCAGCCGCCGCGGUAAUUC
RNAcentral lists this ribosomal RNA (403 nucleotides) under uncultured bacterium. RNAcentral's name for it is "partial 16S ribosomal RNA". It matches the Rfam family "Bacterial small subunit ribosomal RNA", at positions 29 to 526 of the family's 1533-position model. The record is from RNAcentral.